AUGGGGAGCCAUUUAUGGCGAAGUAUCUGAUUCCACACUGCCAAGAAAAGCCUCUAUCGAGUGAAUAGGUGCCCGUACCGCAAACCGACACAGGUAGGUGAGGAGAGAAUCCUAAGGCCAUCGGAAGAAUUGCUGUUAAGGAACUCGGCAAAUUGACCCCGUAACUUCGGGAGAAGGGGUGCCUACGAAAGUAGGCCGCAGAGAAUAGGCCCAAGCAACUGUUUAGCAAAAACACAGGUCUCUGCUAAAGCGAAAGCUGAUGUAUAGGGGCUGACGCCUGCCCGGUGCUGGAAGGUUAAGGGGAACACUUAGCGUAAGCGAAGGUGUGAACUUAAGCCCCAGUAAACGGCGGCCGUAACUAUAACGGUCCUAAGGUAGCGAAAUUCCUUGUCGGGUAAGUUCCGACCCGCACGAAUGGCGUAAUGAUUUGGGCACUGUCUCAACAGCAAAUCCGGCGAAAUUGUAGUGCAAGUGAAGAUGCUUGCUACCCGCGAUUGGACGGAAAG
RNAcentral lists this ribosomal RNA (506 nucleotides) under Clostridium sporogenes. Its description in RNAcentral is "partial 23S ribosomal RNA". It matches the Rfam family "Bacterial large subunit ribosomal RNA", at positions 1566 to 2087 of the family's 2925-position model. Lineage: Bacteria; Bacillati; Bacillota; Clostridia; Eubacteriales; Clostridiaceae. The record is from RNAcentral.